UUACUUCCAAUCAGUGGAAAUUGACCUGUCCCGGUGAAGAGCGGGAAUGCACAAAUAAGACGAGAAGACCCUAUGGAGCUUUAACUAACCNACCCAAAGAGAAUAGAUUUAACCAUUAAGGAAUAACAACAAUCUCCAUGAGUUGGUAGUUUCGUUGGGGUGACCUCGGAGAAUAAAAAAUCCUCCGAGCGAUUUUAAAGACUAGACCCACAAGUCAAAUCACUCUAUCGCUCAUUGAUCCAAAACUUGAUCAACGGAACAAGUUACCCUAGGGAUAACAGCGCAAUCCUAUUCAAGAGUCCAUAUCGACAAUAGGGUUUACGACCUCGAUGUUGGAUCAGGACAUCCUGAUGGUGCAACCGCUAUCAAAGGUUCGUUUGUUCAACGAUUAAAGUCCUACGUGAUCUGAGUUCAGACCGGAGUAAUCCAGGUCGGUUUCUAUCUAUUACGUAUUUCUCCCAGUACGAAAGGACAAGAGAAAUAAGGCCAACUUUAAAUCAAGCGCCUUAAGAC
RNAcentral lists this ribosomal RNA (513 nucleotides) under Bos taurus (domestic cattle). RNAcentral's name for it is "similar to 16S ribosomal RNA". It matches the Rfam family "Bacterial large subunit ribosomal RNA", at positions 2047 to 2736 of the family's 2925-position model. Lineage: Eukaryota; Metazoa; Chordata; Mammalia; Artiodactyla; Bovidae. The record is from RNAcentral.